Molecule: small nuclear RNA, 157 nt
Filed under: Morus notabilis
Lineage: Eukaryota; Viridiplantae; Streptophyta; Magnoliopsida; Rosales; Moraceae
Description: U2 spliceosomal RNA
Rfam family: U2 spliceosomal RNA
About the family: U2 is a small nuclear RNA (snRNA) component of the spliceosome (involved in pre-mRNA splicing). Complementary binding between U2 snRNA (in an area lying towards the 5' end but 3' to hairpin I) and the branchpoint sequence (BPS) of the intron results the bulging out of an unpaired adenosine, on the BPS, which initiates a nucleophilic attack at the intronic 5' splice site, thus starting the first of two transesterification reactions that mediate splicing.
Source: Rfam by way of RNAcentral
AUACCUUUCUCAGCCUUUUAACUAAGAUCAAGUACAGUAUCUGUUCUGAUACGUGGAAAUAAUUUUUUUAGGGGAGGGCCCACCACAGUAGCUUGCUACUGGGGCCCUCGAGCGUCGCCCAUGCUUUGCACUACGGCACGAGCCUGGCGCACCCCCG